CCCGGGCGACCGGCGCACGGGUGAGUAACACGUAUGCAACCUGGCCGUGACAGAUGGAUAACCGGGAGAAAUCCCGCCUAAUACAACAUAAUGCCGGGAGGGGACAUCCCCUGCCGGCCAAAGGGGGCGACCCCGGUCACGGAUGGGCAUGCGGCGCAUUAGGUAGUUGGUGGGGCAACGGCCCACCAAGCCGACGAUGCGUAGGGGUUCUGAGAGGAAGGUCCCCCACAUUGGUACUGAGACACGGACCAAACUCCUACGGAAGGCAGCAG
RNAcentral lists this ribosomal RNA (272 nucleotides) under uncultured bacterium. RNAcentral's name for it is "partial 16S ribosomal RNA". It matches the Rfam family "Bacterial small subunit ribosomal RNA", at positions 86 to 354 of the family's 1533-position model. The record is from RNAcentral.